Molecule: long non-coding RNA, 268 nt
Filed under: Nicotiana benthamiana
Lineage: Eukaryota; Viridiplantae; Streptophyta; Magnoliopsida; Solanales; Solanaceae
Description: long non-coding RNA (NBEN_LNC034739)
Source: RNAcentral
GCUCUUAUAGGGCGGCUAAUGGGCGGUUAUCGGCCUAACAUACAUGUUCACUAAAUAUCUCUUAUUCUCCUCGUCUUAGAAAUAAUGAAUUGCCAUAAAAAAAAAUAUUUUAGAGGCAAUAUGAUGUAGCUAAUGAAACAAUCGCCAUCAGCAUGUAGAUUAUAAAAUAGAUAAAUUCACUACUAGUUCAGUAUCGAGAAAAAUAAAACAGAACUAUCUUAUGUUAGAGGACACACUACAUGUGUACUCAUAAGCUUCAGAUAUAACC